This is a long non-coding RNA of Hyaena hyaena (striped hyena), 1002 nucleotides long. RefSeq lists it as uncharacterized. The record is from RefSeq and is a predicted model, not a curated record. Lineage: Eukaryota; Metazoa; Chordata; Mammalia; Carnivora; Hyaenidae. The transcript has 3 exons.
GCGGCAGCACCUGCCUCACGUGGGUCCGCAGCUCCAACUACAGGAACGGCCUUUCACGGAGGAAGCAGCCAGUAGCUCUCCGACACAAUUACCUGGUAUCCGAAGCAGCGUGGGCACCAGCAUGAAUAUUCAGUGUGUGCUUCGCUCCGUGACAAUUUUAGGGACCAGUUAAGGGUCAAAUGUGGAUUCUGCGGUCUACUCUCCUGCCGCGUGCCCUCCCGCAUCGCGUUGGGUGGCAUCUCGGCCACACUUCAGUCCAGCCUGAGUGUCAGCACAUCGGAGUCUCAAGUCUGUGGCUUUGCUCGGUUAAUUUCCGCCAUCGCAUCAAUGUGAAGAAGUUUCUGCAGUCAUGCUCUGUAGCUGGGGGGGAGCAGAGCAAGGCAGAUAACUCAGGGACCGUCUCAGAUGGGAGCUGUGCCAAAAUCAGCAAGACACCCAGCUUUGCUCGGAUUCUCCAUGAGACAGUGCAUGGAUGCAAAAUGGCUAGCAGUAACUAGCAGUAUGAAUAAACUUCCACCUUUGGGAUCACUGCUUAUUUUUCCUAACAGCAGCAGCCGCAAAAAACCACGAACGACAUUUUUAUAGCAACUUAUCAUUUGCAAGAUGCUCGCACAUCCAUUAUCUCAUGUGAUGCUCACCAAAACCUUGUGACCCAGAUAUUACUUUUAUUCUGCUAAAAAUCAGCAAACCAUGGCUUAAGUAAAGCCGGGGACUUUUCCAAGGGCAUUCUUCUUAUGAGAAGGUGGACACAGGUUGCAAUCCUAAGGCCAUUCCCUUCUCUUUCCACCCUGCCUCGUCUACAGAGAGGAAGAUGGCAGAAGAAAUGGAGGUGAAGGAAGGUUAAGGAAGGUGGGAUACGUUUUAAUCAAAUUUGGUAGACCUGGUCCCAUUUGGGGACACAUGAGGAGGAUUUUACUGCAUUUUCCAGCCCUUUGUUCUACAUAAGCCAUGUGCCAAUAUGAGAAGAUAUAGUCAUCUAAAUAAAAUUGGCUUAAGCAAUAA